RNAcentral lists this long non-coding RNA (2691 nucleotides) under Mus musculus (house mouse). RNAcentral's name for it is "RIKEN cDNA D730002M21 gene". The record is from RNAcentral. Lineage: Eukaryota; Metazoa; Chordata; Mammalia; Rodentia; Muridae.
AAGUCUGCCUUGGGGAAACAGCCUUGCUAAGGCUUCCUUGUCCUGCAAAGGGAACUGCUUGCCAGGUUCAACAAGUAAGUCUCAGCUAUAGCUGUCCCAGGUCACUAUGCUCAGAGUGUGGCACUAGGACAAUUGCCAACCAUGCCCUGCUCCUCUUCCCUAAGGGGUGCGUACAGAAUGGCUCCAAAGGUGUCAACUGACUGCUCAGGAAUUGUGGACCUGGUUGGCAAGUUCUAGGGUCAGCAAUAGUUCAGCUCUCAAGCAUCUUGGAAAGCCCUUGGGAAGAGUGAAUGCCAAGCAUAGACCCUCCAGUGCUUUGUGGGUACAUUGGCUUCAGAGACAAAAGGCAGGCACAAAUCUCUCCUCAGCUGCCAGGGGCUGGUGUUGAAAAGACACAGUCAUUUUGCCUCUGAGUUUUCGGCUCACACAAGUCUUCCUGUUAGCAGAAAGCCUCAUCGAGAGAACUGGCGAGUUUUCUCCACCAACCAACUUCCUUAGGAAAGACCUCUUGUGUGGAGACAUCAGAUGUGACACACAGUAUGCUGGUGUAUGUAUCCUGGCUGUGCUCUGAGUGACUGAGGAAUGUGCAGCAGCUACUGGAAUGCUCAGGGACUUACUUUCCUCAUCUGUGAAAUGGGCUGAUGUCAGUCCCUCUUCGUUCCUGCAGUUGUUUGGAAAGCUUGGGAGAUAGUCUUUCAGAAAGUUCUUUCUUGGUGACCACCAGACUUCAUAAUCACAAGACAGCAUAUGAGGGUUGUUCCUCAUCCCGGCUGUAAUUUUAAUGUAUCCCAAAGGGUCUUGAAGGUGUUCUGAAGGCUAAGCCCCACCUGUCACAGAAAGCCAGGAUGGGAUUGCUGGGCUGAGACAGUGACUUCAGGGCAAGCAUAUGUGGGUGAUGAUUCCAGAAGGAGUCGUGAAGAGGUGGCGAGAGCACCACGCCUGGUGUGCUAAUGAUCAUGCCAGGGUUGCAGGUUACAGGAGAGUCAUUCCCACGGGACACCUCUGCAAGUCAGUCCAGAACCCGCAUCAGAGGCGUGAAGAAGCAGGACUGUGUGGGCCUCACACCUCCAUUUGAUACUGCUUCAGGCCUAUUUCCAGAGGCCUCCCUCAGCUCUUCCAGCUGCUCCAUGACAGGACACAGCAAGCUCUGGUGGCUAGAGAGACCCUCAAAGUCUGAAGUAGGCAAUCAUUGGUGCCAAGGCAAACUGGGCAGGACUGAGGGGCCCUGAGUGAGUGCUGGUGCUGUGUGUCACGUGACUCUCUCUGCCAUAUGGCAGCACUGUGCCCCAACGUGGGGGCUCACCACCUAUCCUGCAGUCAUUCCUCACUCAAACCCUGGGCUGUCUGCAAGACAUCCUGAAGCCCAGAGACUGAGAUCCUGUCCAAAGGACUCCUGUCUUGGAUGUCUCUGCCAUGUGUGUUUUUGUGCGAUGGGUUCCAUGUGACCCAGUGACAUGCAUCAUACUUGAAAUACUUCCACUGCUGACAAAAUAAAUCAGCUCUGUCCGCCGUAGCACUCAGCUUAUUAGGGGAAAAUGGAAAGGGGGCAUUAAAUAUUAAUGCCGCAUAUUUUCCUCUCCCUUGGCGCCUUCUAUGCCGCUGAUCGUUGCCCAGCCAGCACAGCCUUCUGUCUUUUUUCCUCUGACGAUGAUAGGGGACAGGGAAAAAAAAAAAACUCUGGCAAGUCAGUGAGGGGCAGGCAUGUGAAAGGGGCUCUGACGGAUUUUUCUAGGCCCCUGCUUGGGAGCAUGGCUGUCUCCAUUAGAUGCCAGGGAUAAUAAACUGUGAAACUUCAUCUGUGGCAGGAGGUUUCUACUCUUGCUGUGGUGUGGCUGUAGUCACAGAGUCUUCUGAAGGAGAAGGCAGUUUCUCAGGAGGCUGGGUGGGAGGACAGAAGCUCAGAGACAUGGGUGAGGAGUCCUAAGCUCACAGACCCCACGGCUCUGCUUCUGCUUGAUUCCCAAAAACAUUCAGCCAGGCACCCUUGCUUCUAAGGCCAGGCCACUGGAGGGCUGUGAGGUGACUUUCAGGCUUUGAAAAGAGGCUUCUGGACAUUUUGACAUUUCACUCAAUCAGUCCUUGAAAAUUCACUGUCUGUCUGUCUAUCUAUCUAUCUAUCUAUCUAUCUAUCUAUCUAUCUACCUACCUACCUACCUAUCUAUCUAUCUACCUACCUACCUAUCUAUCUAUCUAUCUAUCUAUCUAUCUAUCUAUCUAUCUAUCUAUCUAUCUACCUAUCAUCCAUCCAUCUAUUGUCUAUCUAGAUAUACAUAGAUAUCCAUAUAUCUCUAUAUUUAUCCUCUAUCUACUUAUCUAUCCAUGCAUCUAUCUAUCUAUCUAUCUAUCUAUCUAUCUAUCUAUCUAUCUAUCUAUCUAAUUUGUCCAUCUAUCUCUCUCUCUCUAUCUAUCUCUCUAUCUCUCUAUCUCUCUAUCUCUCUAUCUAUCUAUCUAUCUAUCUAUCUAUCUAUCUAUCUUUGUCCAUCUAUCUAUCUCUAUUGAUCUAUCUAUAUAUCUAUCCUGUAUCAUCUAUUAUCUAACUUUAUCAUUAAUCACCAAUUUAUGAUUAACCUAUCUUAUCUACAUAUCUAUCACCCAUCUCUAUCUGUAAUCUUUCUAUCAUAUAUCUAUAUCUAUCUUCUAUUUAGAUGUCUACAGAUAUCCAUAUAUCUAAAUACAUACUUAGAAAAAACC